CAGCAGCCGCGGUAAUACGGAGGAUCCAAGCGUUAUCCGGAUUUAUUGGGUUUAAAGGGUGCGUAGGCGGACCCUUAAGUCAGUGGUGAAAGUUUGCAGCUCAACUGUAAAAUUGCCAUUGAAACUGAGGGUCUUGGGUGUAAAUGAGGUAGGCGGAAUGUGUUGUGUAGCGGUGAAAUGCUUAGAUAUAACACAGAACACCAAUUGCGAAGGCAGCUUACUGGGAUACAACUGACGCUGAGGCACGAAAGCGUGGGGAUCAAACAGGAUUAGAUACCCUGGUAGUCCACGCAGUAAACGAUGAAUACUAACUGUAUGCGAUAUACUGUAUGUGGUACAGCGAAAGCGUUAAGUAUUCCACCUGGGGAGUACGUUCGCAAGAAUGAAACUCAAAGGAAUUGACGG
RNAcentral lists this ribosomal RNA (405 nucleotides) under uncultured bacterium. Its description in RNAcentral is "bacterial SSU rRNA". It matches the Rfam family "Bacterial small subunit ribosomal RNA", at positions 509 to 916 of the family's 1533-position model. The record is from RNAcentral.